Magnolia sinica is the source of this 761-nucleotide RNA transcript. It is a transcript of the gene named serine/threonine-protein kinase ATG1a-like, with no coding region annotated. NCBI's taxonomy places the organism in Eukaryota, Viridiplantae, Streptophyta, Magnoliopsida, Magnoliales, Magnoliaceae. The transcript is spliced from 4 exons. The record is from RefSeq and is a predicted model, not a curated record.
UUUUGGCUGGUCUCAGUUCUUCUUCCAAUUCCAUCUUUUUGUUUUCUUGAUUAAAAAAUGCCUCCCUUGUAGGUACCUAACACCUCAAGGGUUAGCUGAGACUUUAUGUGGUUCACCAUUAUACAUGGCUCCAGAGAUCAUUCAGAACCAAAAAUAUGACGCGAAGGCUAACUUAUGGAGUGUGGGAGCAAUUCUGUUCCAGCUGGUCACAGGGAAGCCACCCUUUGAAGGAAAUUGCCAAUACCAGGCCGACAAUGGGUGCUGGAGAUAAGGAGGCACUACUUAAAAUACUUCUAUAAGGAGGCACUACUUACAGUACUUACAGAUAAGGAGGCAUUACUUAAAAUAUCUACUUAUGGACAUCUCAUGUUUCUUAUAUUCCCAUAUCUCUUAAAUUAGUUGUUCAGAAGGAAAGAGAAGAGAAACUUGCAGAAAUAUUGAAAGAUCGGCUCAACCAAUAUGUGCAAGGAAACAAAGAUGCCUUCAUUAGUCAAGCUGAAGCUGAAGUCUCAAGGCUCUCCAAUGCGGGUAAUAUUUUGAUCCUCAUCUUGCUUUCAGCUUGUUUCUUUCUGAAUCUUGCGUACUGUAGUCUGUUUGGGAUAACUGGAGGCCAGAAGUAGCUAGACUAGACCCUUGUUUUAGUGAACAGAUUUCUCCAAGUUCAGACAUAAAAGUUAAAAAGUGGCUGCUUCAUAGUAGAUGCACCUUUUGUUGAUUGGUUGGAAAUCACAUUACAUGCUUGAUACAGUUUCAGUUCAAGA